RNAcentral lists this ribosomal RNA (468 nucleotides) under uncultured bacterium. RNAcentral's name for it is "partial 16S ribosomal RNA". It matches the Rfam family "Bacterial small subunit ribosomal RNA", at positions 28 to 507 of the family's 1533-position model. The record is from RNAcentral.
GACGAACGCUGGCGGCGUGCUUAACACAUGCCAGUCGAACGGAAAGACCCUGCUUUUGUGGGGUGCUCGAGUGGCGAACGGGUGAGUAACACGUGAGUAACCUGCCCUUGACUUUGGGAUAACUUCAGGAAACUGGGGCUAAUACCGGAUAGGAGCUCCUGCUGCAUGGUGGGGGUUGGAAAGUUUCGGCGGUUGGGGAUGGACUCGCGGCUUAUCAGCUUGUUGGUGGGGUAGUGGCUUACCAAGGCUUUGACGGGUAGCCGGCCUGAGAGGGUGACCGGCCACAUUGGGACUGAGAUACGGCCCAGACUCCUACGGGAGGCAGCAGGGGGGAAUAUUGCACAAUGGGCGGAAGCCUGAUGCAGCAACGCCGCGUGCGGGAUGACGGCCUUCGGGUUGUAAACCGCUUUCGCCUGUGACGAAGCGUGAGUGACGGUAAUGGGUAAAGAAGCACCGGCUAACUACGUG